Molecule: ribosomal RNA, 253 nt
Filed under: uncultured bacterium
Lineage: Bacteria
Description: partial 16S ribosomal RNA
Rfam family: Bacterial small subunit ribosomal RNA
Source: RNAcentral
UACGUAGGGACCGAGCGUUGUCCGGAAUCAUUGGGCGUAAAGAGCGUGUAGGCGGCCAGGUAGGUCGGUUGUGAAAACUGGAGGCUCAACCUUCAGAGGUCGACCGAAACCAUCUGGCUAGAGUCCGGGAGAGGAGAGUGGAAUUCCUGGUGUAGCGGUGAAAUGCGCAGAUAUCAGGAAGAACACCGAUGGCGAAGGCAGAUCUCUGGGCCGUAACUGACGCUGAGGAGCGAAAGCGUGGGGAGCGAACAGG